CCUACGGGUGGCUGCAGUGGGGGAUAUUGCACAAUGGAGGAAACUCUGAUGCAGCAACGCCGCGUGAGGGAAGAAGGUCUUCGGAUCGUAAACCUCUGUCCUCAGGGACGAUAAUGACCGUACCUGAGGAGGAAGCUCCGGCUAACUACGUGCCAGCAGCCGCGGUAAUAAGUUGGGAGGAAGCGUUGUCCGGAAUUACUGGGUGGAAAGGGUGCGGAGGCGGCCCUGUAAGGUCUGUGUGAAAAGUCUAGGCUUAACUCAUAGAUUGCACUUGAAACUGUGGGGCUUGAGUGAAGUAGAGGCGGGUGGAAUUCCCGGUGUAGCGGUGAAAUGCGUAGAGAUCGGGAAGAACACCAGUGGCGAAGGCGGCCUGCUGGGCUUUAACUGACGCUGAGGCACGAAAGCGUGGGUAGCAAACAGGAUUAGAUACCCUUGUAGUC
RNAcentral lists this ribosomal RNA (440 nucleotides) under uncultured bacterium. RNAcentral describes it as "bacterial SSU rRNA". It matches the Rfam family "Bacterial small subunit ribosomal RNA", at positions 338 to 795 of the family's 1533-position model. The record is from RNAcentral.